UUUGUGUUAAGCUUCAAUUUAUGUUAGAUCAUUUAUUUUAAAUUGAAAGAUUGCAAAAAUGUACAUUUCUCUAUUCUAAAGACAUCAUGGAAUUUCACUGCCAUGUUUAAAAGGCUCAUAUAAACAGACUGCCAAAAUAUGACCACAUUAGAAAUAAUUGUGGGAGAAUGUUACAGACUACUGAGCCAAAAGAUGCCCAGAUUGUACAAAGGCAAGUUAUUGGUCAAGAAAGGAGACUCACACCAUCCUGAUGAGAUAAAUUACUGACUGCUCUCAGAAUCAAAAUCAAGUGAAGCCUGGACUUAAUUUUGCCCAAGGAGGAAAAGCUAAUUGUUGGUGUGGAGAAAUGCUAACGGCAAAAGAAAGUACCUCGGUCACCCUCAGCUUAGACUUGGCAGAUGAGUAUGCUUCCUUGAGUGGGAGAGAAAGACUUGACAUUAUAGCAAACAGCAUGGAAUUCCACAGAAGCCACAGCCCAUUUAUUGACAUCACUGUAUGCACUGUGAUGAGCAGUCAUAAAUGAUAUGUAGCAAUAGAUGUGGCAUACCUUUAUGGAUCACUGAAAAAGGCUACUUCAUUUUCCAACACAAAUUAUGGCAUUCACCAGCAGCCAAAGAGAUCUCACCAAGUGGAAUUUUAAACAUAGACACCAAAGAAGUUGGCAAAAGAGAAGAGAAGAAUGGCUGUGAUAACCCUUAUGCUCCUGUCGGUGUCCUGGUCUCAGGACCAGCUUGAGGGAUGGGCACUCAUCUUAGCAUUAUUAGUAACAUAAAAGAAGCCCUAGAGAGUAGUGGUUUAGGCUCACGCUCUAGAGACAGACAGACAUGGAGUUUUUGUCUGAAGGAGAUCUUCACUUAAUAGCUCUGAGAUUUUGGGCAAGGUCCUUAACUUCUCUAACCCCAAAUUUACCUUCCAUAAAAUGGAGUCAUGUCUACUUUUCAUAAGGACGUGAUGGAAGCUUUUCUUUCUCAUCUUUUUCCUGAUGGUGGCUCCUGACUGAUGGCAAGUAAAGAUAGCUGAUGUUUGAGGAAAAAACAUGAUUUUGUAUCUUAUUUUUAAUUUUACCUCUGGUAUUGUGGGCAAAAUAUUAGGCUUUGGACUCAGUGAAAAAACUCAUAUAAUAAGGUUGCAGGAUACAAAGUCCACGUAUAAAACUCAGUUUUAUUUCUGUAAAAGAGCAACAAACAACUAGAAAAUAAAAUUGAAGAAUUAUUCAUUUGUAAGAGCAUUCAAAAAACAUAAAAUACAAAUAAACUUAACAAAAGAUAUGUAAAGCUCUACACUGGGAAGUCAAAAACAUUGAUGAGAGAAUUAAAGAAGACCUAAAUAAAUGGAGAAGUAUAUAAUCAUAGAU
Long non-coding RNA from Camelus dromedarius (Arabian camel), 1354 nucleotides. RefSeq lists it as uncharacterized. The record is from RefSeq and is a predicted model, not a curated record. Lineage: Eukaryota; Metazoa; Chordata; Mammalia; Artiodactyla; Camelidae. The transcript is spliced from 3 exons.